Non-coding RNA from Phascolarctos cinereus (koala), 1850 nucleotides. NCBI's taxonomy places the organism in Eukaryota, Metazoa, Chordata, Mammalia, Diprotodontia, Phascolarctidae. The record is from RefSeq and is a predicted model, not a curated record.
CCAGGGGCCUCCGCUAGCCCACCCUUCCUCGCUUCCGCCCUCACAUCCACCGCUGCCUGGCGCUUUGGGACAGGAGCUGGUUUGCAGCCUCAGCACAAGCUGGGGACGCAGGCUGGAGAGACGCCUGGCUUUUAAAGCCACUGAAGGGAUUUAUAGCUGGCAAAUUACAAAAGCAGGUCUAAUUAGCCCCAAGAGGCCCUUACAUAAGCAGUGGGGAGCGAGAUGCCGGGCGAUUUGCUCCCUUCUCUAGGCUCUUCCAGGAGAGUCUGGUAAUGAAUGUUUCCUAACAGCGGGAGCACAGAGCCCCUGUGGCUAACAGCUCUCCAGAGUCCACGGUGAUCCGGAUUUGCAGCCAGGCCACAUCACGGGAUGUGCCCAGAGCCCCAGCAGUGCCCCCGAUUGGCUUUGCGGUCUAAGCUAGAAGAGAGGUGGUUUUUAGAACAGUCUCCCUGGCAGCCCGGAAAUGUCAGCAGCCCUUCUCACUGCCUGGUUUAGGACGUAAUCACGUGCACCCACGGCAAGAAUCACAGAAGUUUAGAACUGGAAGGAACUUCGGUGACCAUCUGCUCCAAUCAAACCUGAAAAAGAAUCCUCUUCCUGACGUUCCCCCAAGUGCACCCAGCUAGUCUCUACUUGAAGAAGGCUGGGCAGGGGAGCCUGCCACAUUUGAGAUAGUUCUCAUUGCUGAGUGCUUGUUCCUAACAUCAAGUCUACACUGGCCUCUCAGCAGCUUCCCUCUAUUGCUUUUGAUUCUGCCUUUGAAUGAAAGCCAGCUGAAUUGCUUUUCCAUGUACAAAUCCUUUCCAUACAUGAAGUCAACUAUCAUGUCUUGCCCAAGUCUUCUCUUCUCCAUGCUGAAAAUGCCCACUUCCUUCAACUGACACCCUUAUAGCAUGAACUUGAGGCAUUUCACUGUCUUAGUUGUCCCCAUCUGGACACUCUCCAGCCUAUUGUCCCCACUAAAACAUGGUGCCUAGGAAUGAGCAUGCUACUCCAAGUGUGGCCUGUCCAGGGCAUAGUGCAGGGGACCUAUCACCUCCUUUGUUUUUGAUAUUAUGGCCCAAGAUUGCCAUUGGCCUUGUUUGGCUGUUAUAUCACAUAGUUGGCUCAUAGGGAGCUUGCCGUCCACCCAAACCCCAGAUCUUUUUCAAAUGACUUUCAAUGCAUAAAAUGUCCACAAAGUUUGAUUUUGAUGUCUCAUCAUGGAAGAAAGGUAGUCCUGGGUUCUCAAAGUUCUUCCAGAAAGCAAAGAAGGUCCUAUUGUGCCCAAAGGGCUCUGAUAUGACCCCAGUAACAGACCAAGUCUGCUUCCCAAAGACCAGCCCAGUUUAGCACAGAGUGACUUCUUGCCAGCAUGUGAUACUCUUUCCAAUCAAAGAGAACCAAUGAAACAAAGGAAAAUACCACUGGGCCAUCAGUCUUGCAUGGCCUCUUCUGCUAACAUGGUGAUGGUGACAGACUGGUAGCAAAGGGGCAGAGGAGUGAAGAAACCCAAUUUUUACACCUGGGUCCUCCCUCUGUUAGUACAGAGGGUCAGACUCCUUCCCGAAGGGGAGAAGAAAGAUGCAUGCAGAAGUGUGAGUGAUGCUCUGAAUCUUUAAGGCAUUUAUGGUUUUCCUGAGGACACACUUGGCUGAUGGAUAGCUUUUUCACUUUUUAUAAGCAAUUUGGAUCAUUUUUUCCAAGUGUUUUUGAGUGUACUGAAUUAGACACAAAUGAAAGGAUGCAUCCAAUGGCCUUGGGGAGUUUGCCUCUCCAAGUAAUGUCAGUAAUGGCACAGAAUUCUCCAAGUGCUGGGAGCCUUGAGGGAUGUACUCAGUAUGCUCUUCAUUAAAUUAUAAUCAUCACCA